This is an RNA transcript of Populus trichocarpa (black cottonwood), 1333 nucleotides long. It is a transcript of the gene named 28 kDa ribonucleoprotein, chloroplastic, with no coding region annotated. NCBI's taxonomy places the organism in Eukaryota, Viridiplantae, Streptophyta, Magnoliopsida, Malpighiales, Salicaceae. The record is from RefSeq and is a predicted model, not a curated record. The transcript has 5 exons.
CCAAUCACAAUAUCAAGGCACCUUAUCAGACAAAAAAACCCAAAGCGUGGUUCCUCGCUCGCUCGCUCAUGGCUUCACUUCGUCUUCCAUGUUGUCUCUCAUCAAAAACGCCUUCCUUCUCCAUUAAUCCAAUAACCCCCAAGUUAUCUUCUCUCCAUAACCACCCUAACAACUUUACUUUUAAUACCAACACCAACAACAUCUCAUUAUCUCACUCUCUUUGUUUUCCAAUUAGAAACAACAACAAAUUCAGGCAUUUCCUUUUGCAUUUCUCUUCUACAACUCAAGACCACCCGGUUGUUGAUUCCUCUUCACUUGAUGAUGUUGUCACCGAAUACCAAUCAAAGGCUGAAGAAAAAGAAGAAGAGUUUUCGAAAACCAGACUGUUUGCUUCGAAUGUUCCAUGGAAUUGUACUGCAGAAGACAUUAGGGCUCUGUUUCAGAAGUUUGGGACAGUUGUAGAUGUUGAGCUUUCAAUGUAUAGCAAGAUCAGAAACAGGGGCUUGGCGUUUGUCACUAUGGGCUCCCCCGAAGAGGCAGUUGCUGCUCUUAAUAACCUCGAAUCUUAUGAGUUCGAGGGCCGUACUUUGAAGAUGAAUUAUGCAAAGGCAAAAAAGAAAAAACCUUCACCACCUCCACCACCCAAGCCAGGGCCAACGUUUAACUUGUUUGUAGCGAAUUUGCCAUUUGAAGCAAAGUCGAAAGAUCUUAAGGAGUUCUUUAUUGCAGAAGGUGCUAAUGUUGUUUCUGCUGAAAUUAUAUUUCAUGAUAAUCCUAGAAGGCCCUCCGGUUAUGGAUUUGUGGCAUUCAAAACUAAAAAAGAAGCUGAUUACGCCAUUUCUACUUUCUCCGAUAAGGAAUUCAUGGGAAGGCAACUUAGAGUUGCUCGCAGUAGACAAUUUGUCAAACAACGAAAAGAAGAUGCAGCACAAUCUGAUGGUACUUCGGGUGAGUUGGAAUCUGAAAAGGUACAAGCAGAUACAGCUAAUGACAAUUGAAAUGGAAAAUUUGCGAGGUUCUGAGAUUGUUUAAUUUGCUUCGCUUCGCUUCAAUUUUGUAGGAACAGAUACCUAAUCAAGAAAUUGGAGGCAAACUUCCAAAUAACUCGAAUUGAUUAGGCAUUUUGAAUUCUAUUGAUGUAACCAUACAUCUAAUCUGGUAUGUGUUUGGGGGUGGCUAUUAGAGGUGAGAAUCAUGAGUUUAGAUUUUUAUGCUUGUCUUGGCUGUCAGUAUGGAUGUAGAUAGGGCAUUUGAUGUUGCCAAAACUGGGGAAUCAUUCUUUGCAAAGGUAAAAUGAAAUCAAUCAAGAAACAAAAUAGUUGAGGAUGGAAAA